AUCUGGNUAGCUCAGUUGGUAAAGCAUGAGACUCUGAAUUUCAGGGUUGUGGGUUUGUGCCCCACCUUGGGCA
RNAcentral lists this transfer RNA (73 nucleotides) under Neotoma lepida (desert woodrat). It matches the Rfam family "tRNA". Rfam says of the family: Transfer RNA (tRNA) molecules are approximately 80 nucleotides in length. Lineage: Eukaryota; Metazoa; Chordata; Mammalia; Rodentia; Cricetidae. The record is from Rfam by way of RNAcentral.